RNA transcript from Mastomys coucha (southern multimammate mouse), 1946 nucleotides. It is a transcript of the gene named periphilin-1 pseudogene, with no coding region annotated. The record is from RefSeq and is a predicted model, not a curated record. The transcript is spliced from 2 exons. NCBI's taxonomy places the organism in Eukaryota, Metazoa, Chordata, Mammalia, Rodentia, Muridae.
GAGAGAGAGAGAGAGAGAGAGAGAGAGAGAGAGAGAGAGAGAGAGAGAGAGAGAAAGAAAGUAGAGAGAGAGAGAAAGAGUGUGUGUGUGUGUGUGCGCGUGUGGAGAGAGAGAGAGAAAGUGUGUGUGUGUGUUUUAAGAGAGACGAUGUAUCUAGCUGGGGACCUUUAACUGGGCAAGGGGCGAACUCCUAACUUUGGUUGAGAAGAGAAAGUGGGAGCCUUAUCACGUCCUCAACUGUCGCUGUUGGGCCCUCUCCACGGAAGCCCAUUGUCCUGUCCUUGGAGUGGCUCCAACUUCACACCAGGAGAGGCCAAUACGAAGGAGUUUUCCUCUCAUCUCUAGCACAUGCCAACCAGACCUCUAACUGCUCCUGUGGCAGCCUGCGUGCCAGCAUUCUGGAACCUGGAGCCAUCAAUUUACACUGAAACUCGUCUCCUACAGUCCAGCCUAUCUAGUGUGCAAGUGAAUUUUGAAGCUAGUAUCUCAGUGGCCAUCCAAAGGACUGCUAGGAUUGAUUGUCUUGGUGAGCUUGUGGCUAGCCCAACCUUCCAUGCUUCAUAUCCCGGUCAUCCUUGGUCACCGUCCAGGAUCAGUGUACAGAAGAGACAAGAUGUGGUCUAACAGAUCAUAUGAUGAAGUACCUCAGAAUGUCUCCAGUGAUGAAUCUGCCCUGAGGAAAACGAGCGAUGAUCUUUUUGCAAGCCGACAGCAUGAGUGCGGGGAUGAGAAAGAUGACUUUAAAAGAAAAUGUUCCUCCUCUUCCCAUUAUUCAAACCAACAGUCUCCCCAUAAAGGGGCUUCCUGUUUUUCCAGAAAAUCAGGUGUAAAUGCAAAGAACUCCCCACAUAGCAGAUCUGGAUCCAGUGGAAGGCACUCCCCAAAACAAAGCAAACUGCAUUCUUCCCAUGGGUCAGAGCCUAGGAAGUCCAAGCAUGCUCAUUCCUCCUACAAACGGUGCAGUGACGAAAAGCCAGAAGAAGAUAAAAAGAGGCCUGGCAAGUCUUUGAAAACAUCUAGAGACACACACACAGAAAGUUCUUCAACAGUUCCUUCAUCAGAAAUUUUAAACAAACUCAAAAGGUUUGAUGAAAAGGGACUUCCUAAAGCUGCAAGCGGGCAAACUGUAGAAAAGCCAAGGAUGGCAGAUGAAAAUGACUUACCUAAAAUUUCUGAGUUUGAAGUUGUACUCGCAGAAUUUAUGGAUCAGUCACAAGAACCUGAGUCAAAAAUAAAAGAUAACCAAGUAACCAAUCGCCGUAAAGCAAUAGUGUCAAAAACCAAGGAAAUCGAACAAGCCUACUACCAAGACUGUGAGACCUUCGGAAUGGUGGUGAAAAUGUUGGUUGAGAAAGACCCUUCUUUAGAAACGUCCAUUCAGUUUGCACUUAGGCAGAAUUUAUACGAAAUAAGUGAGCGCUGUGUGAAAGAGCUCAGGCAGUUCAUUGCAGAGUAUGAUGCUGCCGCCUCCUAAGAACUGGUGCUCUAGCAGAAAGUGUUUCUUGAUUGUCAUUCCAGAAUUGUAUAAAUACUUCAUAUAUGGAAGUUUUGUGAUGAAAUAACUUCAGUGUCUAGUAAACAUCUGAAAUGGUCAGCUUAAAACAAUCUUCAGAAAUGUUUCUAUGUAUGGAACCUUAUGAUUCAUGCACUCACCAGUGCUCAGCUUGUGUCUUAGCCUGAUGGGGAGGCUUGCUUACUCAUGGUCUGUGGUCUUCCAAGUAGAUGAAUGGAUGGCACAGUGUACUUUACAGUUAGAGACUGAACUUUAUAGUAAAUGGUAGCAUGUAAAAAUGUUAGAAUUAGAGUUGUGAUUUUUAUUGACUUUUGGCUUGUUUUCCUAGGCUUUGUUGCUUUUAUUAAAAUUAUCCUACAUUAAAGUAUGUUUUCUUAAUAAACUGUUACUUUGAUACCUUAAGAGAAUAAAACAUGGAAAUGAGCUCAAUCUU